Molecule: unclassified non-coding RNA, 312 nt
Filed under: plant metagenome
Description: partial contains 5.8S ribosomal RNA, internal transcribed spacer 2, and large subunit ribosomal RNA
Rfam family: 5.8S ribosomal RNA (bases 1-105)
Source: RNAcentral
GAAAUGCGAUACUUGGUGUGAAUUGCAGAAUCCCGUGAACCAUCGAGUCUUUGAACGCACAUUGCGCCCUCUGGCAUUCCGGGGGGCAUGCCUGUCCGAGCGUCAUUACGCACCCUCAAGCCCGGCUUGUGUGAUGGGCCCUGGCGUCUCGUUCGCGAGACGGGCCCGAAAGGCAGCGGCGGCGUCGACCCGAUGAGCCCGAGCGUAUGGGGACUUUUGUCACACGUUUGCGGUGCGGACCGGCGCCUGCUUGACUUUUCUGAUUAUCCAGGUUGACCUCGGAUCAGGUAGGGAUACCCGCUGAACUUAAGC